UGGGGAAUAUUGCACAAUGGGGGAAACCCUGAUGCAGCCAUGCCGCGUGUGUGAAGAAGGCCUUCGGGUUGUAAAGCACUUUCAGUAGGGAGGAAAGGUAAUAGUUUAAUACGCUAUUACUGUGACGUUACCUACAGAAGAAGGACCGGCUAACUCCGUGCCAGCAGCCGCGGUAAUACGGAGGGUCCGAGCGUUAAUCGGAAUUACUGGGCGUAAAGCGUGCGCAGGCGGUUUGUUAAGCGAGAUGUGAAAGCCCCGGGCUCAACCUGGGAAUUGCAUUUCGAACUGGCGAACUAGAGUCUUGUAGAGGGGGGUAGAAUUCCAGGUGUAGCGGUGAAAUGCGUAGAGAUCUGGAGGAAUACCGGUGGCGAAGGCGGCCCCCUGGACAAAGACUGACGCUCAGGCACGAAAGCGUGGGGAGCAAACAGGAUUAGAUACCCUGGUAGUCCACGCCGUAAACGAUGUCUACUCGGAGUUUGGUGUCUUGAACACUGGGCUCUCAAGCUAACGCAUUAAGUAGACCGCCUGGGGAGUACGGCCGCAAGGUUA
RNAcentral lists this ribosomal RNA (549 nucleotides) under uncultured bacterium. RNAcentral describes it as "bacterial SSU rRNA". It matches the Rfam family "Bacterial small subunit ribosomal RNA", at positions 355 to 896 of the family's 1533-position model. The record is from RNAcentral.